Molecule: long non-coding RNA, 648 nt
Organism: Calidris pugnax (ruff)
Lineage: Eukaryota; Metazoa; Chordata; Aves; Charadriiformes; Scolopacidae
Exons: 3
Source: RefSeq, a predicted model, not a curated record
GGAAGAGAAGGGAAGAGAAGGGAAGGGAAGGGAAGGGGAGCGGAGCGGGGGCGCAGCCCGAGCCCAGCCCAGCCCCAGCCCAGCCUCCGGCGCAGCCCCGGCAGGUGGUGGCCCCGAUAGCUCCGCCGCGCUAAGCCUCCGCCGCCCGCUCGCCCCCCGCUGCCAUUGCCGGGCGCCGGCUGGGGAGAGCUCGGCGGAGCCAUGGAGCUCUGAGGAGCGGCGGCUGAAGGGGGUGAGGAACGGCGGCGCCGCGGGGAGAGGAGCACAACCCCCCCCAGUCCCCCUCGGGGGGCUGCCGGAGAAGGUUGCCCAUCUGAAGAAAUUGGAUUGAAGAACAAGAGGUUUUUUUGUAACGGGCUGCUCUUUAAUCUCAAUAAUGAAGAAAAGCAGAAGUGUGAUGACAGUAACUGCAGAUGAGAACGCUCUGGAUUACCUGGAGUGUGGGCUGAGUAAGUCCUACAGUACUUCCAGCCAUGCCCUGGGCAUAGACCUCUGGAGAGGCAGAAGAUGUUGUUCUGGAAAUUUGCAGUUACCGCCGCUGUCCCAACGACAGACAGAGAAGGCAAAGACACCUGACAGGGACAUCGUCUGCAGACCAACAACUCUGCCGUUGCUGACACCUCCAAGCAUUGCCAUCACCACCUACCA